ACUUACUUGGAUAACUGUGGUAAUUCUAGAGCUAAUACAUGCAAACAGAGCUCCGACCGGAGACGGAAGGAGUGCUUUUAUUAGAUCAAAACCAAUCGGUGGCGGGUUCGCUCGUCAUCGUACAACUUGGUGACUCUGAAUAACUUUACGCUGAUCGCACGGUCCUAGCACCGGCGACGCAUCUUUCAAAUGUCUGCCUUAUCAACUGUCGAUGGUAGGUUCUGCGCCUACCAUGGUUGUAACGGGUAACGGGGAAUCAGGGUUCGAUUCCGGAGAGGGAGCCUGAGAAACGGCUACCACAUCCAAGGAAGGCAGCAGGCGCGCAAAUUACCCACUCCCGGCACGGGGAGGUAGUGACGAAAAAUAACGAUACGGGACUCAUCCGAGGCCCCGUAAUCGGAAUGAGUACACUCUAAACCCUUUAACGAGGAUCAAUUGGAGGGCAAGUCUGGUGCCAGCAGCCGCGGUAAUUCCAGCUCCAAUAGCGUAUAUUAAAGUUGUUGCGGUUAAAAAGCUCGUAGUCGAAUUUGUGUCUCGCGCCGCUGGUACAUCGUCCGCGGUGUUUACUGGCGAGUCGCGAGACGUCCUGCCGGUGGGCUUAGCUCGCGAGGGCGGCCCAACUCAAUCCUGCCGCGGUGCUCUUCAUUGAGUGUCGAGGUGGGCCGGCACGUUUACUUUGAACAAAUUAGAGUGCUUAAAGCAGGCUAAAACUUCGCCUGAAUACUGUGUGCAUGGAAUAAUGGAAAUAGGACCUCGGUUCUAUUUUGUUGGUUUUCGGAACCCCGAGGUAAUGAUUAAUAGGAACGGAUGGGGGCAUUCGUAUUGCGACGUUAGAGGUGAAAUUCUUGGAUCGUCGCAAGACGGACAGAAGCGAAAGCAUUUGCCAAAAACGCUUUCAUUGAUCAAGAACGAAAGUUAGAGGUUCGAAGGCGAUCAGAUACCGCCCUAGUUCUAACUUUAAACGAUGCCAGCUAGCGAUCCGCCGACGUUCCUCCGAUGACUCGGCGGGCAGCUUCCGGGAAACCAAAGCUUUUGGGUUCCGGGGGAAGUAUGGUUGCAAAGCUGAAACUUAAAGGAAUUGACGGAAGGGCACCACCAGGAGUGGAGCCUGCGGCUUAAUUUGACUCAACACGGGAAACCUCACCAGGCCCGGACACCGGAAGGAUUGACAGAUUGAGAGCUCUUUCUUGAUUCGGUGGGUGGUGGUGCAUGGCCGUUCUUAGUUGGUGGAGCGAUUUGUCUGGUUAAUUCCGAUAACGAACGAGACUCUAGCCUGCUAACUAGGCGUAUUUUGGCAUCCUAAAGGCCGGCCGGCUUCGGGGUUCGCUUCGUAGUCGCGCUCGGUUUUUACUGCCGGCGUACAAACAUUUCUUCUUAGAGGGACAGGCGGCUUCUAGCCGCACGAGAUUGAGCAAUAACAGGUCUGUGAUGCCCUUAGAUGUUCUGGGCCGCACGCGCGCUACACUGAAGGAAUCAGCGUGUCCUCCCUGGCCGAGUGGCCCGGGUAACCCGCUGAACCUCCUUCGUGCUAGG
RNAcentral lists this ribosomal RNA (1533 nucleotides) under Ips calligraphus. Its description in RNAcentral is "SSU rRNA". It matches the Rfam family "Eukaryotic small subunit ribosomal RNA", at positions 133 to 1574 of the family's 1831-position model. The record is from RNAcentral. Lineage: Eukaryota; Metazoa; Arthropoda; Insecta; Coleoptera; Curculionidae.